AAUGGUAAGACCAAGUAUCGUUUUCCCAAGAGACUCGAAUGACUUUCUCGUUUGCGUGAAUUAAAAUAAUAAGACUUGAAAAUAAAAAUUAAUAAAUUGGAUUUGAGAACACAAAUAUUAACAUGCAAAAUAAAGUUGAUUCAAUUGACAAAAGAAAACAAUGGAUGAAUGGAUGUUGUUGGGGGUUUACAAUUUCAUCUAAUCCGCUCUCUCUUACCUACUCCUCUUGAAAAUUAGUUUGAUUAAUUAAUUGUUAUGCGACUUUCUUAGCCUCCCCUUAACCCGAUCCCUCGGCGAAAAGAGCCUAAUAUUAACUACUNGCUUGCUAUCCCUAGCCUCCCCUAGCAAUUAAUACCGCAUUAUAAACAGAAGUUAGCGCAAUUAAUCGUCCUACCCCUAUCUCUAGGUGGUAUUGCAAAAUCAAGAAAUUACUAACCAGUUCAUGUCAUUACUGUACGUCCCAUAUCAAUAAAGACAAACAUCAGUUACCGAAUGAGUUGAACGAUAAAGGCCU
This 514-nucleotide long non-coding RNA is filed under the name Vigna radiata. RNAcentral's name for it is "long non-coding RNA (VRAD_LNC001563)". Lineage: Eukaryota; Viridiplantae; Streptophyta; Magnoliopsida; Fabales; Fabaceae. The record is from RNAcentral.